Molecule: small nucleolar RNA, 108 nt
Organism: Trifolium pratense (red clover)
Lineage: Eukaryota; Viridiplantae; Streptophyta; Magnoliopsida; Fabales; Fabaceae
Product: small nucleolar RNA Z152/R70/R12
Exons: 1
Source: RefSeq, a predicted model, not a curated record
GGUGCAAUGAUGUGAUGAAAACACAUAAGUGUUUUUGGGCAGUGGACAUUACCAUCAGGUUUUGCCGUGAGCCUUUUUUAUAAACGACUUCUCCUUCCACUGAGCACU